This is a long non-coding RNA of Oreochromis niloticus (Nile tilapia), 1361 nucleotides long. RefSeq lists it as uncharacterized. The record is from RefSeq and is a predicted model, not a curated record. The transcript has 2 exons. NCBI's taxonomy places the organism in Eukaryota, Metazoa, Chordata, Actinopteri, Cichliformes, Cichlidae.
GGGAUUUUGUGAUUUUAUGAUGUUUUUCCUUUUUGAUACAUCUUCCUUUUUAAUGUUUCAUUUACUCAGUUCUCCUUAUAAUGCUCCAUUUGCUCGUUUACUCACAUGCUCCUGUUGAGAAAGGCUUGGAAAGCACAUAGUGUUCACAUAUCUUUAUGUUUUGUCUUUGCUUCUUCUCACACACAUACACAUGAGCCCCGCAGUAUUCGCUGACUCCUGUGAAAGUCUCUUGCAGACACCCUUGGAAACAGGACCCAACUGGCUUCUGUUUUCCUCGAGAUAGAAACUACACACACACACACACAUAUACACUGUGUCCCAUACACGCCCAGAUUGUCUGCUACAGCCUGACAAACAGGGAAUGCUACGAUGUAUAAAUAAAGCUGACUACAAAGCCUCGGAGUGGGUAUCACCCGAUCACUCACCCGUGCGCACGUAGUUCUCUGAACAAAACUCUGACUGUUUCUGUAUUCUUUCAAUGUUUAAAAAUGUCUUGCCACUGACAUUUAAUUGGUCCUUCGAGCCGGAUAGUUUAUUGAUAUUAUUGUAUCAUCUAACUAUUCACAGACGGAGCCACCAGAUCCUGGCGUCGUGACUACCUGCACUGCAACCACCGUUUCUAGCGAAGCGAGGAAAAGCCCAGAGUCGUACAUUCGCCUACUGGCCAGUGUCUUAUACAGGUCCACGACGCCAGGUUCUCGGUGACGCCGGGAAAAAGAACACAGCGCAACAUUGAAGUCUCUUCCAGGUUGAAACCAGGAGAUUGGGUCCUGAUAAAAGUGCUCCAGAGGAAAAAGCGGAGCUCCCCGAGGUGGGAAGGACCCUACCAAGUCCUCCUGGCCACACCAACAGCCUGCAAAAUUGCUGAACGACCUUCCUGGAUUCAUCAGAGCCACUGUAAGAAAGUGAGUGACAGCCCAUAGACACUAAGACGCCAGCACCCCUGCCUGUUAGUGAUCUGGGAGGUGGAGAGAGGGCUGUUUGGGUAAAUCCCGCCCUUGUUCUUCUCGCCCCUAGUCUACUCACUCACAGGACCAGGUGUGUUCGGUCAUCAUGAAGACCCUACUCGUUCUAAUGGCCAGUGUCACAAUUCUGUUGGGACUGCUGUUACUGAUUCCACAAGAAGAACAACAGCACCACCUGGAGGCAAGACUGACACAUGACACAAUACAUCCAGACGACAUGACACAAGAUCACAACCACCCAUGGAUGAACAAUGCCUGGUACCGUUAUGUGUGCAACUCCACAAGAGACAGAAACUAUUACAUCUGUUCGCACAUGCCUCUUAAUGCAAAACACCUGAUAAUGUGCAUUCCACCAACUUGUCUGACACACUGAACACGCUACGUCAGCUCAGACGA